This 310-nucleotide ribosomal RNA is filed under the name uncultured eukaryote. RNAcentral's name for it is "partial 18S ribosomal RNA". It matches the Rfam family "Eukaryotic small subunit ribosomal RNA", at positions 1470 to 1796 of the family's 1831-position model. The record is from RNAcentral.
CCCUUAGAUGUUCUGGGCCGCACGCGCGCUACACUGACUGGUGCAACAAGUGUCUGACCUUGGCUCGAGAGGCCUGGGCAACCUUUGAACGCCAGUCGUGCUGGGGAUAGAUUCUUGCAAUUAUUAAUCUUCAACGAGGAAUUCCUAGUAAACGCAAGUCAUCAGCUUGCAUUGAUUACGUCCCUGCCCUUUGUACACACCGCCCGUCGCUCCUACCAAUUUCGAGUGGCUCGGUGAACCUCUUUGGACUGUCGAGCAAUCGCGAAAUUAGAGUGAACCUGGUCACUUAGAGGAAGGAGAAGUCGUAACA